This 497-nucleotide ribosomal RNA is filed under the name uncultured bacterium. RNAcentral's name for it is "partial 16S ribosomal RNA". It matches the Rfam family "Bacterial small subunit ribosomal RNA", at positions 28 to 507 of the family's 1533-position model. The record is from RNAcentral.
GAUGAACGCUGGCGGCGUGCCUAAUACAUGCAAGUCGAGCGAACAGACGAGGAGCUUGCUCCUCUGACGUUAGCGGCGGACGGGUGAGUAACACGUGGAUAACCUACCUAUAAGACUGGGAUAACUUCGGGAAACCGGAGCUAAUACCGGAUAAUAUAUUGAACCUCAUGGUUCAAUAGUGAAAGACGGUUUUGCUGUCACUUAUAGAUGUAUCCGCGCCGCAUUAGCUAGUUGGUAAGGUAACGGCUUACCAAGGCGACGAUGCGUAGCCGACCUGAGAGGGUGAUGGGACACACUGGAACUGAGACAAGAUACAGACUCCUACGGGAGGCAGCAGUAGGGAAUCUUCCGACAUGGGCGAAAGCCUGACGGAGCAACGCCGCGUGAGUGAUGAAGGUCUUCGGAUCGGAAAACUCUGUUAUUAGGGAAGAACAAAUGUGUAAGUAACUAUGCACGUCUUGACGGUACCUAGUCAGAAAGCCACGGCUCACUACGUG